This 397-nucleotide ribosomal RNA is filed under the name uncultured bacterium. RNAcentral's name for it is "bacterial SSU rRNA". It matches the Rfam family "Bacterial small subunit ribosomal RNA", at positions 362 to 776 of the family's 1533-position model. The record is from RNAcentral.
UAUUGCACAAUGGGGGAAACCCUGAUGCAGCGACGCCGCGUGAGCGAAGAAGUAUUUCGGUAUGUAAAGCUCUAUCAGCAGGGAAGAAAAUGACGGUACCUGACUAAGAAGCUCCGGCUAAAUACGUGCCAGCAGCCGCGGUAAUACGUAUGGAGCAAGCGUUAUCCGGAUUUACUGGGUGUAAAGGGAGCGUAGGCGGUAAGGCAAGUCUGAUGUGAAAGGCCAGGGCUCAACCCUGGGACUGCAUUGGAAGCUGUUUAACUGGAGUGUCGGAGAGGCAAGUGGAAUUCCUAGUGUAGCGGAGAAAUGCGUAGAUAUUAGGAGGAACACCAGUGGCGAAGGCGGCUUACUGGACAGUAACUGACGUUGAGGCUCGAAAGCGUGGGGAGCAAACAGG